RNAcentral lists this transfer RNA (66 nucleotides) under Curculionoidea sp. 5 KM-2017. RNAcentral's name for it is "tRNA-Tyr". It matches the Rfam family "tRNA". From Rfam's summary of the family: Transfer RNA (tRNA) molecules are approximately 80 nucleotides in length. Lineage: Eukaryota; Metazoa; Arthropoda; Insecta; Coleoptera. The record is from RNAcentral. RNAcentral also lists the same sequence under 1 other name.
GGUAAAAUGGCUGAGUUUAGGCGAUAAAUUGUAAAUUUAUAGACGAGGUUAUAUACUCUUUUGCCA